UGCUGACAAAUCCUAACACGUCCUAUUGCCUAAAUCUGAGGAAGAGCUUGAGUCACUGGCCUAGGUCUCUUGUUCUACUAAAUAGGUGCCGUGGGUGCUGGUCUGCAAUGUGAAACCAAGGGCCUGAGGUUCCCUACUGCUGAAAAAAAAAUGCAAAGGUUACUCUCCAUUAACUGCACCUUGGCCAGAACGGCCGAGUAAGUACUAAGCUCGAACACAUAUAGCUGCUGUCUAAUCUCAAGACGGAGGCCCCACUCGAACUUCAUUACCUUUAUACCCUCAUCCAUCAUGCUUUUAGGGAAAUACUGAUCCAACUUUAGGAACUUUUUGACGUACUUUGACACAAUCAUAUCACCUUGGACCAAGUGUGCAAACUCC
RNAcentral lists this long non-coding RNA (378 nucleotides) under Carica papaya (papaya). Its description in RNAcentral is "long non-coding RNA (CPAP_LNC003096)". Lineage: Eukaryota; Viridiplantae; Streptophyta; Magnoliopsida; Brassicales; Caricaceae. The record is from RNAcentral.